This 177-nucleotide long non-coding RNA is filed under the name Mustela putorius furo (domestic ferret). RNAcentral describes it as "lncRNA (ENSMPUG00000027397.1)". The record is from RNAcentral. Lineage: Eukaryota; Metazoa; Chordata; Mammalia; Carnivora; Mustelidae.
CAGGUGCUUUGAGGGGAGGAAGCAAGCUGCCUGAGGGGGAGCUGUACAACAGUCACCUAACUCACCUGGGUGCGGAAGUCAUCUGGGGUCCCGAAGGCUCAGGGGAUAUAAACAAAUUAAUACUUUUUGGAAGUGGGGCAACCAGACUUGAAAGAAACCACGUUGUCUGAGGACUAG